This 468-nucleotide ribosomal RNA is filed under the name uncultured bacterium. RNAcentral describes it as "partial 16S ribosomal RNA". It matches the Rfam family "Bacterial small subunit ribosomal RNA", at positions 28 to 507 of the family's 1533-position model. The record is from RNAcentral.
GACGAACGCUGGCGGCGUGCUUAACACAUGCAAGUCGAACGGAAAAGCCCUGCUUUUGUGGGGUGCUCGAGUGGCGAACGGGUGAGUAACACGUGAGUAACCUGCCCUUGACUUUGGGAUAACUUCAGGAAACUGGGGCUAAUACCGGAUAGGAGCUCCUGCUGCAUGGUGGGGGUUGGAAAGUUUCGGCGGUUGGGGAUGGACUCGCGGCUUAUCAGCUUGUUGGUGGGGUAGUGGCUUACCAAGGCUUUGACGGGUAGCCGGCCUGAGAGGGUGACCGGCCACAUGGGGCCUGAGAGACGGCCCAGACUGCUACGGUAGGCAACAGUGGGGAAUAUUGCACAAUGGGCGGAAGCCUGAUGCAGCAACGCCGCGUUCGGGAUGACGUCCUUCGGGGUGUAAACCGCUUUCGCCUGUGACGAAGCGUGAGUGACGGUAAUGGGUGAAGAAGCACCGGCUAACUACGUG